GGAGGGGUAGCGAAGUGGCUAAACGCGGCAGACUGUAAAUCUGCUCCCAUCGGGUUCGGCGGUUCGAAACCGUCCCCCUCCACCA
Molecule: transfer RNA, 85 nt
Filed under: Bacillota bacterium
Lineage: Bacteria; Bacillati; Bacillota
Also listed under: 5 other names
Description: tRNA-Tyr
Rfam family: tRNA
About the family: Transfer RNA (tRNA) molecules are approximately 80 nucleotides in length. Their secondary structure includes four short double-helical elements and three loops (D, anti-codon, and T loops).
Source: RNAcentral